UGAAGAGCCAAGCGUCAAAAAUGGUUAAAAUGAGUCAUAUCUGAGUUGAUAUGACAGAAAUAACUGCUCAGACUUAAAAAAAUGUGGUUCAUCAAAGACAUGCAGUAUAGCAUAUGUAUAUGUAUGUGUAUAGCAUAGAAAAGACCAGAAAUACUUUUUCUCCUCCUUUGCUUCUUUCACAUAGAUUUAAAUUGAGUCACACAGGACUACAUGACUGGUAAAUCAGAAUAGAUUCCUCAUUACAGUCACAUGAGCACUUAAGCUGUCGAUUGCUUUUUUUCAUUAACAUUUCUGCAUGAAUUCUGGAGAAAAAAAGACCAAAAGAAACAAAAACAGGUGCUGUACAGCCUGAGAGAUAUUGAAACUAUUGACUCAGAACUUUACUCAGCCCAUAUUAUAAACACCUAAAAUAAACAAAGAAAGUAGUUGAUUAGAUUCACCAAACAGUCACAUCCACUAAAUGUAAAAAAUACUUUUAUUAUAGACUCAUACAGUAGUUACAAAAUCCUGAGGAGCAAUUGUGCACAUAAGCUUGUCUGAGGCACCACUAGGUGACAGAACAGGAUAAAAUGGUGAAUGCUACUCUGAUCUGAUAAUCAAAUCCAAAAUAUUAUAAAGAAAUGCUAAAACGAAAUAAGGACACAUGCUUAAAAUAUAAAGAUCCAUUUGGUACAGUUGAGAAAUAAAAAGCUUAAAUAGCUACAUAUACUAAAAAAAAGAAAAAAAGAAAUACUAUAUUCUCUCUGUCUUAGAGUCAUUUACAUGCAGCUCAAUAGUCACUGGAGCGAGUUGUAGCCUCCCUCAGUAGUGCAUAAUUCACAGAAAACAGAAAAAGCAGACUGACCUGCCAAAACAGUGUUUAACGUCACCAUGACUCUUUAAGUAAACAGAAGCCACCAGCAGACCGUAAAGCUGAGGAGGCACAUGUGGCUCAUCCAUUUAGUUUAGCCAAUGUCCAUGAAAUUUAAAAUCCAAGAUAACAGAACAGCUGCCAGAUAUCGUCCAUGUCUUCACAUAGAAGCUCUCUGAUGUACUCUUACCCUCAACUUGUUGUGUUUUCUGGAGAGAAAAAAAACGAGACAACCAACACAAAUGAGUGUGUUUGCAUGCAAUAAAGCAGUGAAAUGGAAUAGGUGCUUAUCAAGAAAUGGGGCACAAUUUGUGUUUUUGUGACGAGCUCAGAUACAAAGUUCAGACGUGUGACCCCUAAAAGCAGGUGAACAAACUGCUGUUUGCUCGACUACAGUGUCAACAAGAUCCAACAGAAGCUUCGGCAAAAUCAAGUUUCAACUUGCACCCGUUCCUUACCGUUGUGGCGGUGACACCAUACACUUCCACAGAAUAGCAUACAGUCCAAGCAAAAAGGCGAUGAACAAUGCGGCUGCAAUGGAACCUAAAAAGCACAAAAACAUUCAUGUUUUACAAAUUCAUUCAUAUCAUGCAUUAGCACUUAAAUCUCUAAGGGAAGCGUCGUACGAUAUGCUGCUUCUGUAAUAUCUGACAAGCAUGCAUAAUUUGUUUACAUGCUUUUAUUACUGAAUUCAUCUGUUCUUAAACAGAUAAUAAAAACUUAUAUGGCUCUAUAUGCUCAUAUACACACUCCUCAUUUCCCUAUCUAUUUGCUUAAUAGUAUUAAAAGAAAGAUUCACUCUGCAAGAAAAAACAAGACGAAUCCUGUUUAGCACUUCGUGCAUUUCUUUUGCCACUUCUUAGACCUCUAAUCUCUUAUGAUACAAAGACAAUAUAAAGUGCAGUUAUAAAUUCUGGGACUCCACCCACAAAACCUGAACAUCGAUGCUGUAAUUCCUUAUCUGACUCACGAUCCAUCACAAUUCACAGGUUACUGCAGUGUGUAAAGUACGCAGAGAACUUGAUGAGUUUUCUUGUCAUUGGUUGGCUCUACUUCACAAUGAGUGUGAAUAAGAGAAGGACCCUCGCAAACAAUCAUAUCAAUUUAGGAAUAUUAUGAUUACAGAGACGCACUUAACACAUCAACAUGUCGCAGCAUUGACCAUAUGACCAGAUCCUAAUAGAAUGGUGACAGGAAAGUCACCAAAAAAAAAAGAAAAAAAAGGUGUGAAAUGACAAAUAUAAACUUGACCUUGAGGACAGUUUGGGUGAAAACCCUUUAGCUGGUCGGUGUGUGUAGGUUUUACAAAAAUCUUAAAAAUACUCUAGAAGUGCCGAUUCUUGUAAACUGUAAACAGAUGGAUGAAAAUACCUUACCAUAGCAUGGUGUUAAAAAAAUAAUAUAAAAAUCCUUUAGUUAAAUUUGCCCCCUCCCCUUCAUGAGCAUCUUUCUUUUCUGCAUCUCAGUGCACAGCUUUUCCUCCAGUGUGUCAAAUUGGUAGCGUGUUGACUUGCAUUUUUGUUUCAGGGAAGCGGCCUGCCUGCAGACCAGACCUUUUAUCACUUUAAAAUAUUUAGUGCAUCAUGAAACAAACAGUUUGAAAAGAAGAACCAGAACUGCUGAGCAGCUAGAAUCCUACAUCAGACAACAGAAGGAAAGUCCUCUCACAAAAGUCCAGCAGCUGGUCUCCUCUGUUCCCAGAUGUUUACAGAGCGCUGUUUAAAAAAAAAAAAAAAAACAAACCCAAAAAACCCCCAAAAAAACCAAAGAAACCACAUCUCAACUUUUUUGAGAUGUGUUGCUACCACCAAAGUCAAAAUUCCAUUUUGUUUUUACAUCGCAUCUCAACUUUUUGGAUUUGGAGUUGUUGUGUUAAUGGAUAACACAACAAGAGGAUGCUUCAGGUCAUGCAUUUAUCCUGAUACGCUAAGAAACCUGAAGUCAUCAUCUUAAAACUGCUAUUUGUCUCUCCGGGCUGUAGCUACAGAAUCAGCUCUCAUUACCAGGGUUGAUCCUUUGCCACAUAAGUUGAUGUUUGCUCUGUGCACAAUGGGCCUUCCAGGCAGCGAUGUUUAAAAAACAAACAAACAAACAAACAAACAAACAAAAAACCCCCUCCAGAUACACAAGGAAAUGACUGAAGGAGAGAGACAUCAAAUUUACAUCAGGUAGGUUUUUUAUUUUUAUGACCACUGUCCCUAAAAUGUAUGACUGCACCUAAUAAUAAUGAUGGGAUUUCAUUCGACUUUCAAGUUCUGGGUGUUUGAUCCUCUUCACUUACACUUAUCUCAAACAUCAGAUAAAAA
Molecule: long non-coding RNA, 3156 nt
Organism: Astatotilapia calliptera (eastern happy)
Lineage: Eukaryota; Metazoa; Chordata; Actinopteri; Cichliformes; Cichlidae
Source: Ensembl